AGAUGUUAGGGCGAUCUGCCUGAGACAUUUGUCACCCGAUUGAUCGCCAGGGUUGAUUCGGGUGAUCUGGCUGGCUAGGCCGGUGUCCCCUUCCUCCCUCAAUGAUCCAUGUGCGUCCCUCCCAGAGCUGCGUGCUUGGUCGAAGAGGACUACCACCCGGAUAGAGGAGGACUAUUCCUGGGUCAAGGGUAUGCUAGAACCUAUAAACAAGUUCUCACGAAUCUAGUUCACUGUGAAUGCUGUCACGUCAUGCUAAUGUGAUGAUAACAAAAUUCUGAGAAAUCAGAUAAAAAUAAAAUAUAGUAGUGCCGUGGAGUUU
This 319-nucleotide small nuclear RNA is filed under the name Cavia aperea (Brazilian guinea pig). Its description in RNAcentral is "7SK RNA (ENSCAPG00000002790.1)". The stretch from base 1 to 257 matches the Rfam family "7SK RNA". From Rfam's summary of the family: 7SK was discovered as an abundant small nuclear RNA in the mid-70s but a possible function has only recently been suggested. The record is from RNAcentral. Lineage: Eukaryota; Metazoa; Chordata; Mammalia; Rodentia; Caviidae.